GGGGGUAUAGCUCAGUGGUAGAGCACAUGCUUAGCAUGCACAAGGUCCUGGGUUCAAUUCCCCAUACCUCCA
RNAcentral lists this transfer RNA (72 nucleotides) under Camelus bactrianus (Bactrian camel). It matches the Rfam family "tRNA". Rfam says of the family: Transfer RNA (tRNA) molecules are approximately 80 nucleotides in length. Their secondary structure includes four short double-helical elements and three loops (D, anti-codon, and T loops). Further hydrogen bonds mediate the characteristic L-shaped molecular structure. tRNAs have two regions of fundamental functional importance: the anti-codon, which is responsible for specific mRNA codon recognition, and the 3' end, to which the tRNAs corresponding amino acid is attached (by aminoacyl-tRNA synthetases). tRNAs cope with the degeneracy of the genetic code in two manners: having more than one tRNA (with a specific anti-codon) for a particular amino acid; and 'wobble' base-pairing, i.e. permitting non-standard base-pairing at the 3rd anti-codon position. RNAcentral also lists the same sequence under 2 other names. The record is from Rfam by way of RNAcentral. Lineage: Eukaryota; Metazoa; Chordata; Mammalia; Artiodactyla; Camelidae.